CACUCCUACGGGAGGCAGCAGUGGGGAAUAUUGGACAAUGGGCGCAAGCCUGAUCCAGCCAUGCCGCGUGAGUGAUGAAGGCCCUAGGGUUGUAAAGCUCUUUCACCGGUGAAGAUAAUGACGGUAACCGGAGAAGAAGCCCCGGCUAACUUCGUGCCAGCAGCCGCGGUAAUACGAAGGGGGCUAGCGUUGUUCGGAUUUACUGGGCGUAAAGCGCACGUAGGCGGACUAUUAAGUCAGGGGUGAAAUCCCGGGGCUCAACCCCGGAACUGCCUUUGAUACUGGUAGUCUUGAGUUCGAGAGAGGUGAGUGGAAUUCCGAGUGUAGAGGUGAAAUUCGUAGAUAUUCGGAGGAACACCAGUGGCGAAGGCGGCUCACUGGCUCGAUACUGACGCUGAGGUGCGAAAGCGUGGGGAGCAAACAGGAUUAGAAACCCCAGUAGUCCCAUGA
This 450-nucleotide ribosomal RNA is filed under the name uncultured organism. RNAcentral's name for it is "partial 16S ribosomal RNA". It matches the Rfam family "Bacterial small subunit ribosomal RNA", at positions 334 to 800 of the family's 1533-position model. The record is from RNAcentral.